This 329-nucleotide RNase P RNA is filed under the name Campylobacterota bacterium. RNAcentral describes it as "Epsilonproteobacteria bacterium (hydrothermal vent metagenome) RNase P RNA component class A". It matches the Rfam family "Bacterial RNase P class A". Rfam says of the family: Ribonuclease P (RNase P) is a ubiquitous endoribonuclease, found in archaea, bacteria and eukarya as well as chloroplasts and mitochondria. Its best characterised activity is the generation of mature 5'-ends of tRNAs by cleaving the 5'-leader elements of precursor-tRNAs. Cellular RNase Ps are ribonucleoproteins. The record is from RNAcentral. Lineage: Bacteria; Pseudomonadati; Campylobacterota.
GAGGCACGGCGGGCGAUUGCUUGGGAUACCAAGAGGAAAGUCCGGGCUGCAAUGAGACAGGGUUCCGUCUAACGGACGGCCGGCGAAAGCCGAGGGCAAGUGCAACAGAAAGCAGACCGCCUAUCUUUGUGAUAGGUAAGGGUGAAACGGUGGUGUAAGAGACCACCAGCGCCUUUGGUAACAAAGGCGGCUGGGUAAACCCAACCCGCAGCAAGAAGAGUAUGGUUAAAGUCUCAUAUUUUUAAACUCUUCGCUAAAGCUCUAUCGUGAGAUAGAGAUUAGAUGAAUAAUCGCCUAAACAGAACCCGGCUUAUAGCCGUGCCUCGAUC